AUUGAACGCUGGCGGAAUGCUUUACACAUGCAAGUCGAACGGCAGCACGGACUUCGGUCUGGUGGCGAGUGGCGAACGGGUGGGUAAUGUAUCGGAACGUGCCCAGUCGUGGGGGAUAACGUAGUGAAAAUUACGCUAAUACCGCAUACGAUCUAUGGAUGAAAGCGGGGGAUCGCAAGACCUCGCGCGAUUGGAGCGGCCGAUAUCAGAUUAGGUAGUUGGUGGGGCAAAGGCCCACCAAGCCAACGAUCUGUAGGUGGUCUGAGAGGACGAACAGCCACACUGGAACUGAGACACGGUCCAGACUCCUACGGGAGGCAUCAGUGGGGAAUUUUGGACAAUGGGCGAAAGCCUGAUCCAGCCAUUCCGCGUGCAGGAUGAAGGCCCUCGGGUUGUAAACUGCUUUUGUACAGAACGAAAAGGUUUCUACUAAUACUAGGAGCUCAUGACGGUACUGUAAGAAUAAGCACCGGCUAACUACGUGCCAGCCGCCGCGGUAA
RNAcentral lists this ribosomal RNA (500 nucleotides) under uncultured bacterium. RNAcentral's name for it is "partial 16S ribosomal RNA". It matches the Rfam family "Bacterial small subunit ribosomal RNA", at positions 30 to 523 of the family's 1533-position model. The record is from RNAcentral.